UUCAAACCAAACAAAAUCUGAAUGUCUUGAGAUCAUCUAUAACGAUGUCAGCUUUAACUAGCAUCGGGGAGCUGUCACUGGCUGUCAUGGCCUCGUAUCACCACAUAUGUAGCUGAUAAAGUAAAGCUGAACCUCUGCACAUCACGCUAAUUAAUCUCAUUCCUAUAUCUACGCAUGCUACCGUUUGGUCUGGAAUGCAAAGAUGCUUCUACAGCUUGGACUUCCUGCCAAUGGGACAUAAUCAUCUUCCU
Molecule: non-coding RNA, 251 nt
Organism: Pelobates cultripes (western spadefoot toad)
Lineage: Eukaryota; Metazoa; Chordata; Amphibia; Anura; Pelobatidae
Source: the annotation of a GenBank genome assembly